RNAcentral lists this ribosomal RNA (305 nucleotides) under uncultured bacterium. RNAcentral describes it as "bacterial SSU rRNA". It matches the Rfam family "Bacterial small subunit ribosomal RNA", at positions 338 to 660 of the family's 1533-position model. The record is from RNAcentral.
CCUACGGGGGGCAGCAGUGGGGGAUAUUGCGCAAUGGGGGAAACCCUGAUGCAGCGACGCCGCGUGAGCGAUGAAGUAUUUCGGUAUGUAAAGCUCUAUCAGCAGGGAAGAAAAUGACGGUACCUGACUAAGAAGCCCCGGCUAACUACGUGCCAGCAGCCGCGGUAAUACGUAGGGGGCAAGCGUUAUCCGGAUUUACUGGGUGUAAAGGGAGCGUAGACGGCAGUGCAAGUCUGAAGUGAAAGGCAAGGGCUCAACCUUUGGACUGCUUUGGAAACUGUGCUGCUAGAGUGUCGGAGAGGCAA